This 383-nucleotide ribosomal RNA is filed under the name uncultured eukaryote. RNAcentral's name for it is "partial 18S ribosomal RNA". It matches the Rfam family "Eukaryotic small subunit ribosomal RNA", at positions 592 to 976 of the family's 1831-position model. The record is from RNAcentral.
CAAUAGCGUAUAUUAAAGUUGUUGCAGUUAAAAAGCUCGUAGUUGGAUUUCUGGUGGGAGCGAUCGGUCUGGCGCUUAGCGCGAGUACUUGCAUCGUCUCCGGCCAUCCUUGGGGAAAGUCUGUCUGGCAUUAAGUUGUCGGGCAGAGGAUCCUCAUCGUUUACUGUGAAAAAAUUAGAGUGUUCAAAGCAGGCUUAUGCCGUCGAAUAUAUUAGCAUGGAAUAAUAAGAUAGGACUUUGGUACUAUUUUGUUGGUUUGCGCACCAAAGUAAUGAUUAAUAGGGACAGUUGGGGGUAUUCGUAUUCCGUUGUCAGAGGUGAAAUUCUUGGAUUUACGGAAGACGAACUACUGCGAAAGCAUUUACCAAGGAUGUUUUCAUUAA